UUUUCUUUAUCCCUCUUGUGUGUAUCCGGACACAAGCCUGAUGCUGUACAAUGAAAUCCAAGCCAAGAUCCACCACCACAAAUGACUAGACAGCCGCCGUUGUCGCAUGUGUUUGAGUCUGGUGCUGGUGGUACUGCUGCUGUUCAGUACCGGCGGGCUUACGUCAGAGUCCCUUCACUUUUACUCUUCAUCAUCCUUUUAUUUUCUAUCAUCAUUCUCCAGGUCUUUAAUGUCACACUUGACGGCUAACCUACUUAACAUCUACUAGAACAUCUAGAUUAAAGUUGCAGUGAAUCGAUAACAACCGAUGUACCUUAAUCUUAAGAGUAUUCUCAUACCCAGUAUAUCAUUUAUUUUCAUUGUCUGUUUAUUGGUAUUUUUUUUUUUGGCAUCAGUUCAUAAUCUUCUGCGUAUGACUGUCAUGUAUCAAAUUAAUUAUUACAAGUAAAUUGAUUAAAUAUUUAAAAUAAAUUUAAAUAACAAAUUUGAUCAAUCAUAAAAUAAUAAAUAAAUCCACGAGGAUGUUGAUGAGAAAAAGAAAAAAAAAUGAUUAUUAAUUCUAGUAUCUUAUGAUCAGAUGAUGAAAAAUUUUUUUAUUAUUUUAUCUGUCUUAUUAUAUAAGAAUAAUAAUAAUAAUAAUGACGGCGUUACCUAAUAUUAAGUAUUAUCCAAUAGUAAAAGGAGUUUGUAACUGUAUAUAGGUCAUGAAAAAUAAUUAUUUAAAAUAAUAAUUUUAGCAUGUAAAGACUGUAAUGAAUUUUUUUAUAUGACUUUAUAUGCAUGAGCUUUAAUUUAUAAAAUUUAAUAACUUUGUAUAUUUAUUAUUUUUAAAAAAACUUUUAAUAAUAAAACUUUUUAUCGAUAUGAAAUUGAAAAUGUUAACAAUGAAGAUAACAAACAAAUAAGUUAUUUAGAAACUAACAACAGAUUGUUAGUUUUAAGGCGCGUGGACCUUCAAAGUAAAAAUUCCAUCUAAAGCCAGGCCUAAAAACAUCGGAGUCCGGUAUUUAAAAGCGACAUCUACGUGAAACAACGAUGAGAAUUGAAAGUAAUAAAUUUUUUUUUCUUCAAUGGAUAAGAAAUCGUCACAUUAACUGAGAAAUUAUAAAAAUAAAGUCAUCGUUCGAGCGAUGACGAAAAAAAUCUAUAGAUGCGUGUAUAUGUAAACAUAAAUAAAUAAAAAAACCCCAAGAGAUAAAAUAUAUUCUUAAUACUGUGAUCUCUUAUCGCAGUUCCAAGAAAACUUAUCACAAGAUUGUCUGGUUUUUUGACCAACUUAGAAACCUAAAUAUGAAUAACGCGGAAUUUUAUAUCGAAAUAAUAAUAAAUAUAACCGAUAGACGAACAUUUAUUAGAUAGAUUUAAAAAUAUGUUAUUCAAAAAUUAAAUAAUAAACAGCUAAAUGCGGGAGAUUAACCGUUUAAAUUAUCAACAUAUUGUGCAUUUACUCACCUAUUACAGUGGACAUACUACACUCGGAGGUUAAUGCCAACAAUAACGACUAGAUUAUAUGCAACCACGUUUCCGAUGCGUGUUGAAAAAAGACAAAACCGACGAAAAAAAAAAAUAAAAAUAAAAAAAAUUCCCAGGCCAGGGGCAAUCUGACACGAGAUGAAUUCGCGAGACUCUACCAAGGAAGAUGGACAUAUGUGUGCUAUAUAUUACAAGUAGAAAGAACGAGAUAAAAAGAGAAGGAUGAGCGCACACUUGUCCCUCAACAUGUAUUUUAAUAAUUAUUAUUUUUCAAAAUAUAUAUAUGUAUUAUAAGUUAUAUGACAUUUUUAAGAAAUUAUUUAUCAUAACUAACAUAAGGUACUACUAUUUUACCAUAAUUUCUUGAUAACUCAUAAGACAUGAUAUAAAAUAUAGCUAUUAAAUUUUUAACACUUGAACAUAUGCUUUUGCUAAAAUUAUGUUCGCCGAACGUUGCCAAAGGCUAAUUAUUUUUAUGUAAUACUACUUUUUUUAAUACCCAAUGUACAAUUGUUAUCGGAAUUUGCUAAAUUAAUUACCAAACUUUUAAAUUUUGAAUUCAAAAAAUGAAAAUUAUUUAAAUGUUUAAAUGUCUAAUGAGCGGAUGUUAAUGACUUUUAAAUUAAAUUUUAUUAAUUGUUUUUUAAAAUAUCAUGCAUUAUUAUGAAUCAUGACAGUUGUAAUGGAUUAGUUUGGAUAAGAAAUGAAAUAUAUAAAUAAGUAAUUAGUGAGAUUUAAAUAUAGAUAUAUAUAUAAAUUAAUAUGUAUAAAAUAGACUCACAGUUAAACGAGCACGCUUGACAAUAGUCGUGUGAAUUUACGACGCGUGUGACGUGUGGCUUGAUUGCCACAUGUACACGGACUACGCUCCGAUAAGUACUUAGACGAUCAAGAAGAAGGUCUAGAGGUAUUCGGACUCAUUCGAUGUAGCUCGGGUCUAUACGCUUACUACUGUUACUCUCUACUUAAUCGUAAACUCAUUCACUUUUUUAUUUCUUCUUUAUAUUUUUACUUAUCGAAAAUAUAAAUGCCAGAAUUCAAUUUAAAAUCUACUGAUUUAAAUUUUACUUGCUCUUAUUUAAUUAAUUAAUUAUUUAUUUGUUUGUUUGUUUUUUUUUUUAAACAAAAAAUAAUUAUUUAUUUAUGUAGACUGACAUAAAAAUGAAAUUGAAUAAUACAUUUUGUUGUGAAUAAAUCACAAUUGUAAUUACGAUGAAAUGCGUUUUAUUAAAAGCUACAUGCUAGCAGCAGGUGGAAAAGAUUUCACCACGCGGUAUACAAACUUAACCUCAAAAAUUUAUCAAUUACUAAAUCAUGCUCCAAUUUUCUAGAAAAUUAUUUUAAAUACAAAACAUCUGUCAUAUUUUAAAUUCGAUAUUCGAUGACAUUGUACUGAAAUAAAUUAUUUAAAUGGACUGUGAAUGUCACAAUAUGGAGUAUGAAAAAAUUAAAAUUAACUUUUA
Microplitis mediator is the source of this 2936-nucleotide long non-coding RNA. RefSeq lists it as uncharacterized. Lineage: Eukaryota; Metazoa; Arthropoda; Insecta; Hymenoptera; Braconidae. The record is from RefSeq and is a predicted model, not a curated record. The transcript has 4 exons.